Molecule: ribosomal RNA, 537 nt
Filed under: Steinernema feltiae
Lineage: Eukaryota; Metazoa; Nematoda; Chromadorea; Rhabditida; Steinernematidae
Description: partial large subunit ribosomal RNA
Rfam family: Eukaryotic large subunit ribosomal RNA
Source: RNAcentral
AUAGGAUGGAAGCAGAUGAAGUUGACGAACGUGUGUCGUAUUCAAAAUCGCUGUCAGCGGUUUGUUUUUACGGCCGAUGUGGGCCGGCGGCUUUGGUCAAUGCAACGCGUCUAGCGUCGAUGGUGACCCUGCGGAGGGACAAUCAGUCGUCGUACGGUGCUUGGUAUGGCUAAGGUUUCGCCGGUCUUAAAGUCAGCGCCUCAACUGACCCGUCUUGAAACACGGACCAAGGAGUGUAGCGUUUGCGCAAGUCUUAGAGUGUAUCGAAACUUUGAGGCGUAACGAAAGUAAAUGCAGUUUAAUCUGCUGACUUGGGAUGCGUUGUCUCUUGUGGACGGCGCUGGACCAAGGUUUUAUCGCGAUCGCUUGCGGUGCGGUGAAAAUAGAGCGUAAACGGUGCGACCCGAAAGAUGGUGAACUAUGCCUGAGCAGGAUGAAGCCGGAGGAAACUCUGGUGGAAGUCCGAAGCGGUUCUGACGUGCAAAUCGAUCGUCUGACUUGGGUAUAGGGGCGAAAGACUAAUCGAACCAUCUAGUA